UGUAGGAGCCGGCUUGCUGGCGAUGGAGUGUCAGUCGACAUCAACGUCGCUGACACACCAUCGCCAGCAAGCCGGCUCCUACA
RNAcentral lists this unclassified non-coding RNA (83 nucleotides) under Pseudomonas migulae. Lineage: Bacteria; Pseudomonadati; Pseudomonadota; Gammaproteobacteria; Pseudomonadales; Pseudomonadaceae. The record is from RNAcentral.